This 484-nucleotide ribosomal RNA is filed under the name uncultured bacterium. RNAcentral describes it as "partial 16S ribosomal RNA". It matches the Rfam family "Bacterial small subunit ribosomal RNA", at positions 28 to 523 of the family's 1533-position model. The record is from RNAcentral.
GACGAACGCUGGCGGCGUGCUUAACACAUGCAAGUCGAACGAUGAAGCUGGAGCUUGCUCCGGUGGAUUAGUGGCGAACGGGUGAGUAACACGUGAGUAAUCUGCCCUUGACUCUGGGAUAACUGCGGGAAACUGUAGCUAAUACCGGAUACGACACCUUCGGGCAUCCGAUGGGUGUGGAAAGAAUUUCGGUCAAGGAUGAACUCGCGGCCUAUCAGCUAGUUUGUGAGGUAAUGGCUCACCAAGGCGACGACGGGUAGCCGGCCUGAGAGGGUGACCGGCCACACUGGGACUGAGACACGGCCCAGACUCCUACGGGAGGCAGCAGUGGGGAAUAUUGCACAAUGGGCGAAAGCCUGAUGCAGCAACGCCGCGUGAGGGAUGAAGGCCUUCGGGUUGUAAACCUCUUUUAGUUGGGAAGAAGCGAAAGUGACGGUACCAACAGAAAAAGCACCGGCUAACUACGUGCCAGCAGCCGCGGUAA